Molecule: long non-coding RNA, 253 nt
Organism: Hyaena hyaena (striped hyena)
Lineage: Eukaryota; Metazoa; Chordata; Mammalia; Carnivora; Hyaenidae
Exons: 3
Source: RefSeq, a predicted model, not a curated record
CGGGACGCGCGCCCCUCUCGGGGGUGAAGAUGUCCUGAAGCGGAUCGAGCACGAGGCGCCAACAAAAGAGGCCGGAGGGUGCCACCCGGGGGCGGCGGCAGGAAGACGAGCCUGAGGAAGAGCGCGGAGCUGGGCGUCCAGACCCGCCAUAUGUGAGGAUGUGAUACCUGGAGCAGUGGCAGCUAUCUUGUGACUAUGUGGAAACAACAUGAAGACAAUGGCCAACAUGAAGAUAGCGAAGUAGUUGUUGCUA